Molecule: transfer RNA, 73 nt
Filed under: Stegodyphus mimosarum
Lineage: Eukaryota; Metazoa; Arthropoda; Arachnida; Araneae; Eresidae
Rfam family: tRNA
About the family: Transfer RNA (tRNA) molecules are approximately 80 nucleotides in length. Their secondary structure includes four short double-helical elements and three loops (D, anti-codon, and T loops).
Source: Rfam by way of RNAcentral
GCCUUCGUGGUGUAGUGGUCAGCACGAUCGACACGAAUUCGAGAGGUUCGUGGUUCGAGUCCCGGCGAUGGCA